CUCUCUCUCUCCUGCUGCAUUGUGAAGAAACUGCUUGCUUCCCUCUCACCCUCUGCAGUUUCCUGAGGCCUCCCCAGCCAUGCGGAACGCUGUAGACCAAGACCUGGAAUUAACACAUCAGAAGAUUCUAUGAGGAAACCCAUUUAAAAAUAGGAUGCAUUUUUUUCUUUUCUGCACAGGGAGAAAGUUUAAGCUCUCCUCACUAUGAGUUUUCAAGUAUAAAAGACUUUUUCUUCCACGAUUUUGAGAACAACUGAGGACUCUUGUGACCAGGACAACAGGGAAGCUUGCAGCAAGAUAGCUCCAGGUUGGAUUCAUGCUUCGCACCCCAAGGGCUGCCAGCCAGAGAGGAGGAGAAGCAAUCACUCCUGCAGUUUCUGAACACUACACAGACGCCAGGUAGCUUCUUCAGGAGAACAGCCCUCUGAGGAGGCAGGAAGAGGAGGCUUAUCUUUCAGCAGCCGGAGCUGCUGAGAUCUCUGGGCAGAUUAAGCUCUCUCUAAUGGAUGGGCUCCAGCCUGGCACAUUCAGUGGAGAGGGAUCCACUCAUCCAUCAUCAACAUAAUAUGGUCCUCCCUGCACUUCACAGUGUCCUCUUGCUAUUGAAAAGGCUUUUUUGCCUUCUCAAGUUUCUUUGUCAACAGUCUACAGGAAGAAGCUCAGGCCGCCACCGGCAGAGAACCUUCCACUGGCCACUCAGCGAAAGGCAGCUGAUUCAGCACCUGGAGAAGACCGGCAACAGGGCUGAGUUUCCUUGCACUGCAGAGGAGGGGAGAGGCAAGGAGUGGACAUGAGCACGGAGGAUCCAGGGCACUCCCUUGAUGGUGAUGCCCUCGAAGGGCUGCCCCGUGCCCAUUGUACAGAAUGUGGAUUCCACCCCACGCCAUGAGAGCUCUCGCGCAGGCCCAGACCACUUUAUAAGCCAUAUUUCCCACCAAUUCCUGUUUCUGGAUCUGUCAGGUUAUUUCAUAUUUCUAGGCCCUUAGCUUUGCUUCCUCUUCCCUGAACGCCCUUUGCCCACAUCAUCCCAGCUCUCCUUCUCCUCCUGCCUUCUGUCUUCUCUUCCUCUCAUUUCUUGUCACCCAGGCUGGAGUCCAGUGGCGUGAUCACGGCUCACUACAGCCUUGAACUCCCGGGCUCAGGUGAUCCUCCCACCUGAGCCUCCCGAGUAGCUGGGACUACAGAUGCACACCACCAUGCCAGCUAAUUUUUAAAACUGUUUUUAGGGAUGGGGUCAUCUUCCUGUGUUGCCCAGGCUUGUCUCAAACUCCUGGGCUCAAGUGAUCCUCUCACCUCAGCCUUCCAAAGUGCUGGGAUUACAGGCAUGAGCCACAACAUCCAGCCCCUUUUCUCUUUUCUUACCCUUCUUUCCUAUUUUCUUUUCCAUUUUCUUUCCCUCCCUUCUUCUUUCUUUCCUAACUAUUAAGGAGUAGAUUGAAUUCAAGGUCUUUAUGUGUGUCAGUUUUUGUUUUCCAACAAAUAUUUCUUAAAAACCAACCAUUGAAACGUAAUGGUAACCACUGGCCCCUGUCUCCACCUCCACACCUAAGAAGCCCCAAAUCCAGAUGUGUCCAUUAAAAUCAGUCCAGAUCUUCUUUACCAAGCCACUAGAUGUCAUAUUAAUUUCACAGCAGAAUAGGGAAGCCCAUGCCGGAGCUGAAAACCUGCAACAACAAAAAAGCAUCUAAAUACUGCAAAAAAAAAAAAAAAAAAGAGGGAGAGAGGCAUCUUAAUAUUUGUCCUUAACACAUCAUACCAGACUUCUGCUUCCAGGAAUGACUGGAUGUGGUUUUUCUAGGUGGACAUAAUACAAAAUGCAGCUACCUGAAAACAAUGGAAAGUGGACAGAGCAGGCAGAUUCUGGUGGGAAGUCCACGCAAUAAAGAAAAGAUGUUACAGGAAGUGAGCGCCCAUUUUUGCUGUUUUUAGCUUGGAGGCAGGUGCAGCCAUUGUGCAAACCAGGUGUGGUGCUGGUGGAAAAACAGCCAUCUUUUUGGACUAUGAAAAUGGAAGGUUGAGUUCAGGGCAACUAUAACUGCCAAAAGAGAGAAGAAAGAGUUCUGGAAGAGAAAGAGCCAAAGAGGGAAUUCCCAAAUUCUUUCUGCUCCUGUCUGUGGCUGAUCCCAAACCACGGACACACACAGCAAAAACAAAAGCAUCUCAGCCAGAGACAAAAGAGUCUAAAAGAGACUGGACCUGCCACCUGAGAAACAGAGUUUGAAGUUAGAGUUCAAUCACAAAAAAAUGCCUGCUAAAACAAAAUAAACAAAACCUAUUAGAGAAAAGGUGUUCUCUUAUCAGAAUGUAGGGCCUCCACAACUUAACGUUUAUAAUGUGUACAAUCCAAACUUAUUCGACAUAUGAAGAACUGGAAAAGUGGGACCCAUUCUCAAGGGAAAAGAUAGCGGAGAUUCACUCCAAGAUGACCCAGAUGUUGGAAUUAUCCACCAAGGAUUUUAAAGCUACUAUUAUAACUGUUCUCAUGCUAUAAAAUCCACUAUUUAGAUCAUACUUAAUUGUGAAGAAAUGAAUUCUUUCCUCCUAAGAUUAGAAACAAGGACGGCAUGAAUACCCACUUUCACUACUAACACUGAAUUUUGUACGAAGGUCCCAGUCAGUUCAAUAUUUUUAAAAAGAUUUUAAAAAAAGCAAUAAAAGGCAUACAUAUUGGAAAGGGAAAAGUAAACUGUCUAAAUUUGCAGAUGACAAGGUCAUAUAAUGGUUUAAAAAAAGCUACUAGAACAAUAUGUGAGUUUACCAAGGUUAAAGGAUACAAGGUCAAUAUGCCAAAGUCAAGUGAAUUUCUAUAUAUUUGCAAUGAACAAUUCAAAAUGGAGUUUUAAAACAUUUUUAUUUAUGAUAGUCUCCAAAAUACUUUUUAAGAAAGAAAAUGACAGAAGCAACCCAAGUGUCUACUGAUGGAUAAUUAAAUUAUAGUAUAUAAAUACAAUGGGGCCGGGUGCAGUGGUUCAUGCCUGUAAACCCAGCACUUUGGGAGGCUGAGGUGGGAGGAUCACUCGAGCCCAGGAGUUCAAGACCAGCCUGGGCAACAUGGUGAAACCCCAUCUCUAGAAAAAGUACAACAAUUAGCUGAGCAUGGUGGUGCACACCUAUGGUCCUAGCUACUAGGAGGCUGAGGUGGGAGAUCACCGGAGCACAGGAGGUUGAGGCUGCAGUGAGCUGUGAUUGUGCCACUGCACUCCAGCCUGGGUGACAGAGCAAGACCCUGUCUCAAACACAUAUAUACAUACAUAUGUGGAAUACAAUGGAAUAUUUACUUAAAAAAGAAAGAAAAUUCCGACAACAUGGAUGGACCUUGAAGAUAUUAUGUUGAGUGAACUAGUCACAAAAGGACAAAUACUGCAUAAUUGUACUUUUAUGAGGCACUUAGAGUAAUCAAACUCAGAGACAGAAAGUAGAAUGCUGGUUGCCAGGGGCUGGUAGAAUGGAAAGUUAUUGUUUAAUGUUUAUAAAGUUUUAGUUUUGCAAGAUAAAAAGAUUUCUGUGGAUGGAUGGUGGUGAUGGUUGCACAAUGUGAAUGUACUUAAUGCCACUUAAAAAUGGUCAAGAUGGUAAAUUUUAUGUUAUGUGUAUUGUACCACAAUUUUCUUUACAAGGUCUCAAGUUGGACAUUAAAAUGCCAGGCAAUUAAAAGUAUUUAUGUUUAAAACUUAAUUUAAAAAAUAAUUGACAAGUAUAUUCUAAAAUUUGUUCGAGAAGGCAAAGGACCUAGAAUAGCAAGAAUACUCUUAAGAAAGGAAAACAAGUUUGGAAGGACUUAAACUACCUGAAUUCAAGACUUAUCAUUAAGAUACAGUAAUCACAACAGUGUGUUACUGGCAUAAAGAUAGACCAUAUGAGAUCAAUGGAACAAAAUAAAAGCUUUAAAAUGCACCAAUACUUAUAUGGUCAAUUGAUUUUCAACAAUGGUGCCAAAGUAAUUUAAUGGGGAAAAGAUAGUCUUUUCAAAAAAUGGUGUUAGAACAACUGGAUAUAUAUAUAUAUCCAUUAUAUAUAUACACUCAUUUAUAUAUACAUCAUAUACAUGUAUGUAUCAUAUAUAUGUAUAUAGCCUCAACUCUUAUUUCAUAUCAUAUACAAAUAUUUGAAUUGAUUGUAGACCUAAAUGAAGGAGCUAAAGCUAUUAAACUUUUAGAAGACAGCAUAAAAGAAUUUCCUUCCUUCUGCCUUGCCUUGCCCUGCCCUGCCCUGCCUUGCCCUGCCUUGCCCUGCCCUGCCCUGCCCUGCCCUGCCCUGCCCUGCCUUGCCUUGUUUUGUAACAGAGUCUCACUCUGUUGCCCAGGCUGGAGUGCAGUGGCGUGAUCUCAGCUCACUGCAGACUCAAUCACCUGGGCUUAAGCCAUCCUCUUGCCUCAGCGUCCUGAGUAGUUUGGACUACAGGCAUGCGCCACCACACUUGGCUAAUUUUAGUUUUGUUUUUUUGUUUUUGUUUUUUUGUAGAGACAAGGUUUCAUUAUGUUACCCAGGCUGGUCUCAAACUUCUGGACUCAAGCAAUCCUCCCUCCUCGGCCUGUAAUUAUUUCUUAAACAGGGCACAAAAAGCACAAAUCACAUAAGAAAAAAAGAUAAAACAGACUUCAUCAAGAUUUAAAGCUUUUCCUCCUCAGAUAACGAGUUGAGAAAACAAAGACAAGCCACAGAUUGGGAGAAAACAUUGGCAAAACAGCUAUUAAAAAAGCCUUCUAUCCAGAUUAUAUAAAGAACCCUUAAAACUCAGUAAUAAAAAGACAUACAUAGUAAGUAAUGGGCAAAUGAUUUGAACAAUCACUUUAUAAAAGAAGAUAAAUGAAUAGCCAACAAACACAUAAAAAGAUGCUGAACAUCACAAGUCAUUCAAGGAAGUGCAAAU
This 4870-nucleotide long non-coding RNA is filed under the name Homo sapiens (human). RNAcentral describes it as "HSALNT0361465". Lineage: Eukaryota; Metazoa; Chordata; Mammalia; Primates; Hominidae. The record is from RNAcentral.